Molecule: ribosomal RNA, 214 nt
Filed under: uncultured Cronobacter sp.
Lineage: Bacteria; Pseudomonadati; Pseudomonadota; Gammaproteobacteria; Enterobacterales; Enterobacteriaceae
Description: partial 16S ribosomal RNA
Rfam family: Bacterial small subunit ribosomal RNA
Source: RNAcentral
UCGCCCGCGCGCGCGGCGGGCUACGGGAGGCAGCAGUGGGGAAUAUUGCACAAUGGGCGCAAGCCUGAUGCAGCCAUGCCGCGUGUAUGAAGAAGGCCUUCGGGUUGUAAAGUACUUUCAGCGGGGAGGAAGGUGUUGUGGUUAAUAACCGCAGCGAUUGACGUUACCCGCAGAAGAAGCACCGGCUAACUCCGUGCCAGCAGCCGCGGUAAUA